AAAACUUUAGGUUAAAUCUAAACCUUAGGCCUUCAAAGCCUUUAAUAAGCAAAAUAAGCUUAAGUUUUG
RNAcentral lists this transfer RNA (69 nucleotides) under Cellana toreuma. Its description in RNAcentral is "tRNA-Trp". Lineage: Eukaryota; Metazoa; Mollusca; Gastropoda; Nacellidae. The record is from RNAcentral.